AUGAACGCUGGCGGCGUGCCUAAUACAUGCAAGUCGAGCGAACAGACGAGGAGCUUGCUCCUCUGACGUUAGCGGCGGACGGGUGAGUAACACGUGGAUAACCUACCUAUAAGACUGGGAUAACUUCGGGAAACCGGAGCUAAUACCGGAUAAUAUAUUGAACCGCAUGGUUCAAUAGUGAAAGACGGUUUUGCUGUCACUUAUAGAUGGAUCCGCGCCGCAUUAGCUAGUUGGUAAGGUAACGGCUUACCAAGGCGACGAUGCGUAGCCGACCUGAGAGGGUGAUCGGCCACACUGGAACUGAGACACGGUCCAGACUCCUACGGGAGGCAGCAGUAGGGAAUCUUCCGCAAUGGGCGAAAGCCUGACGGAGCAACGCCGCGUGAGUGAUGAAGGUCUUCGGAUCGUAAAACUCUGUUAUUAGGGAAGAACAAAUGUGUAAGUAACUAUGCACGUCUUGACGGGACCUAAUCAGAAAGCCACGGCUAACUACGU
RNAcentral lists this ribosomal RNA (495 nucleotides) under uncultured bacterium. RNAcentral's name for it is "partial 16S ribosomal RNA". It matches the Rfam family "Bacterial small subunit ribosomal RNA", at positions 29 to 506 of the family's 1533-position model. The record is from RNAcentral.